GACGAACGCUGGCGGCGUGCUUAACACAUGCAAGUCGAACGGAAAGACCCUGCUUUUGUGGGGUGCUCGAGUGGCGAACGGGUGAGUAACACGUGAGUAACCUGCCCUUGACUUUGGGAUAACUUCAGGAAACUGGGGCUAAUACCGGAUAGGAGCUCCUGCUGCAUGGUGGGGGUUGGAAAGUUUCGGCGGUUGGGGAUGGACUCGCGGCUUAUCAGCUUGUUGGUGGGGUAGUGGCUUACCAAGGCUUUGACGGGUAGCCGGCCUGAGAGGGUGACCGGCCACAUUGGGACUGAGAUACGGCCCAGACUCCUACGGGAGGCAGCAGUGGGGAAUAUUGCACAAUGGGCGGAAGCCUGAUGCAGCAACGCCGCGUGCGGGAUGACGGCCUUCGGGUUAUAAACCGCUUUCGCCUGUGACGAAGCGUGAGUGACGGUAAUGGGUAAAGAAGCACCGGCUAACUACGUG
This 468-nucleotide ribosomal RNA is filed under the name uncultured bacterium. RNAcentral's name for it is "partial 16S ribosomal RNA". It matches the Rfam family "Bacterial small subunit ribosomal RNA", at positions 28 to 507 of the family's 1533-position model. The record is from RNAcentral.